CAGCAGCCGCGGUAAUACGUAGGGUGCAAGCGUUGUCCGGAAUUAUUGGGCGUAAAGAGCUCGUAGGCGGUUUGUCGCGUCUGCUGUGAAAUCCCGAGGCUCAACCUCGGGCUUGCAGUGGGUACGGGCAGACUAGAGUGCGGUAGGGGAGAUUGGAAUUCCUGGUGUAGCGGUGGAAUGCGCAGAUAUCAGGAGGAACACCGAUGGCGAAGGCAGAUCUCUGGGCCGUAACUGACGCUGAGGAGCGAAAGCGUGGGGAGCGAACAGGAUUAGAUACCCCCGUAGUCCCUGUCUCUUAUAC
This 301-nucleotide ribosomal RNA is filed under the name uncultured bacterium. RNAcentral describes it as "partial 16S ribosomal RNA". It matches the Rfam family "Bacterial small subunit ribosomal RNA", at positions 509 to 807 of the family's 1533-position model. The record is from RNAcentral.